AAGGGAGCUUCAUAGGAUUCCAAAUCAAGGGUUAAGAUCAACCCCAUGUGCCCAUCUUGCUCUUUCUAGAAAAUCUUAUUUUUAUGGUGACAAACUUUGUUAAAUUGGAGAAUUAAAUUUUGAUAAAGAGGUUCUGUUUAAGACUUGAGAGUUGUGCGGUUUCUUUCUUGCAGGUCCUGCUCACACCAACUCAUCUAGCCAUUGUGAUGGAGUACGCGGCUGGGUGAUAACUUUUCGAGAGAAUAUGCAGUGCUGGCAGAUUUAGUGAGGAUGAGGUUAAGUAGUUUCAAAGGCAGAGAAAAUUUCAUUGUAAAUGUUUUUGGCGUAGAGUCUGAAAUAUGGGAUCUCUGAAUGUCCCCUGAAAUGGAAUCCAUUUCGAUUUUCGUUUCAGAUAGGGAAAGUUAGGUCUGAAGCAUAUUUUUACAUAACAGUCGGUCAUAAUAUAACUAAAACUUCCAUACUUUUUCGAUUUAAUUGUUGUUUUGCAUCGGGCAAGGUUUUUCUUCCGGCAGUUGAUAUCAGGAGUUAGUUACUGUCAUUUGAUGGUCAAUCCCCAAUUUUAUGCAUUUAAGUGGAUCACCCUCCUCUUAACACAGGAGUUCAAUUUUGCUGACAGCCUUCACACUUGGGAUACACUUUCAAGUGAUCUGAGGGUCCUUAGCUUUCAUGCAGUCCCCUACUCAAACAUGUGUCAAGACGAAUGACAAUGGACUGCAGAUAUCAAACAACGUGACUCACAGAGCUGCCUUGAUCAUUAGUUGGUGAUAUUUGGGAGAUUGGGUCAUCUGGUUGUUUGAUUUAAGUGGGAUUGAGGUUAUCUUUGCCACUUUUUGUGAUCUGGGUCUGGGUUAUGGUCAAGUUAUUGCUAUUUGUUCUGGGUAUUUGCUGAAAUUUAUGUUCAAUUAGUCUGAGUUCUGUAUUUGGUUUGUGUUCGUUCAAAUAACCUUAUGUGCUUGGAAUGUGAUUUAGCUGUGGCCCUUUAAUUUGAUUCCUAAUUCGUUAUGAUUCAGCACUAUGUUGAUGUUAAUGAUGAAUUUUGGUUUGCAGAUGACCCUGAAGUACCUAAUGUCCGACACCAUGUAACUUUUUGAAAGAACAUGUUUUUAAGGAGUCCAGUUGUGCAGAAGACAUCUCCAUUAACCGGUAACAGAUGAAAUUGUUUGCUAUCAAGGUUUCCGUGCAGAAGAGCGAAAAUGCUGCAAGUGGAGGAUAGAUAACAGCUCAAGACACAUGGUAUGAGGGUGCAGGUAAACUAUAGAUAUGCAUCUGGAAAAAGUAAAAAGUAAAGGAGGGUGGCUGUAGCUUCUCCUUCUCGUCACAAUAGAAAAUACUUUUGAACUGCAUUAAGCUGUUAAUAAAUUAAGCUUAAGCUAUAUUUUAUUUAUCAAGAAUGGGUAAACUGUUUUAAAUAGAAAAAUUAAGUGCUUUGUCAAUUUUACAAAGUUUUCUGGUAAAUUAGAUAUAUAGUUUAAUUCGAAAAGUUGUGUUGACCUUUACUUUUGGUGCGUCCCCUUAUUCCAAUCUCUAUAUAUCUGCUCAACUCUUGGGUUAAUUAUUUGCCAGUAGGAAUGUUUAAUUGCUUGAUCAAUGAUGUUGAUUCAAUUUGAAGAAGAAAUAGGACUUUUGUUCAAUAGGGAUUUAGACUCGCAUAUAAGAUGUCCCAAUUCUUCAUUGAUUCUUAGGUGCUACGUCUUUUUAGUUGUUUUGUGUGGAAACUAUUCAUGCCUGUUGCGACUAAUACAUUCAAGUCCUGCAGCAACGCGCAUGCAUAUUUUCUAGUUCUUUCUAUUUUAAGAAAAACUCAAAUUUGCCUAUUUAAGAAAAAUUUAGAAAAAUAAUAAUGCAUUCUGAGAAUGCAAUAAUAGUUUGCCUAUUGAAAGUGAAAGAAAAUUUAAGUUUUUCUUUCUAUUUUUAAUGUGAUGAAAUUUGAGUUUUUGUUGAGUAUUUGCAUAAUUGGUCCAAUAGUUUGCCUAUUUUCUCUGUUGCUUAUGUUCGAUAUUAUCUUAUGCAGAGAAUUACAAAGAAACCAUAAUUGUAAUAAAGCUUGAUAAUGACGAUAUUCUUGUUAUUUCUGGUUCUAAGAGGACAAUAUCUGAGGAUUUCAAUACUUAUAUAGUGCAUGGAUCAUUCAAGCAAGCAAGUAGAAGUUCACGUUCAGCCAAGUUCAAGGUACUUUUGACAUCAAUACAAGUAAGUUUACACAGUUUAGACUUCACAUACUUUUCUAGGUACAUGGCACCUAAUCCAAUAGCAUAAAACCUAGACAAUUCCACUAACUUUUUGAUCGCAAGUGAAACCCUUUUCUUUAAAUAUCAAAGAAAAAACAUAUGGCUAAUCCCAUUCACAAAUCUCAUUACUAUAAAACCUAUAGUUUCAUCACAGUUCAAGUACCUCCAUAAGACAGCUAUUGACUACAGAAAAAUUUGCCUUCAACAGAUUAAAAACACCACGUUUCAAAUAAUAAACUCCCUGCUCUUGCAACCAAGACCUUACUUUUCAAAUAGUCCACCUUGUUAACAACAUCAAAUACUGAAAAGAUAUAAAUAUUACUAGUUGACAGAUUUGAGAAAGCCAUAAUAUAAAUAGUAAACAAUGUUAAAUUAAAAAAGAAAAAGCGUUAAAAACUAAUAAAAAAUGUUAAAUUAAAAAGUGUUAAAGAAAACCCUUACCUAUAUAUAAGUAUUGAAAUCAUCAGAUAUUGUCCUCCUAGAACCAGAAACAACAAGAAUAUCGCCAUUAUCAAGCUUUAUUACAAUUAUGGUUGUUUCUUUGUAAUUCUCUGCAUAAGAUAAUAUCGAACAUGAGCAACAGAGAAAAUAGGCAAACUAUGGGACCAAUUAUGCAAAAACUCAAAUUUCAUCACAUCAAAAAUAGAAGUUAAAAGUCGCACAAAAUUGAAGAAAUCUACAUUCAAUCAAUUUCAUAAAUCACUUUGUAAGCUUUUCUAUAAACAAUUUAAAAAUGGUAAGUAAAAAGAGAUUACUGAGAUGGUGAGGCGGCCUUCUGAUAAUUGUAAGAGGCAAGGUUUCUGCAAACACUCAAUAAAAAUGCAAAUUUCAUAACAUCAAGGAAUUAUGAUAGAGAACAAUCUACGUCAACUAAAAUUAAAAAAAUUCUUUCUAUCAAUUUCAUAAAUAAUUUUGGUGAAGAAUGAAGCAGAAACUAUGAAUAAUGAUAGAGAUUUUGGUGAAAAAUGAAGUAGAAACUAUGAAUAAUGAUAGAGAUUUUGGUGAAGAAUGAAGUAGAAACUAUGAAUAAUGAUAGAGAUCUUGAGAAAAUUGGUUUGAGAUUUCUGAGGAUGGAUGGUGGAUUAUAUAAAGGAUUCAGAAACGAUUAGGUUAUAGAUAAUGCCACAUGGCAUGCUGUCAUUCGUUAAAAAUCUGGUGGAAAUUUAUCCUCAAAGAUUGUAAAUAGAUUGUGACACAUGGCACGACGUGAUUGGUUAAAAAUCUGAUCGGAAAUCCAUCUCUAAUAAUUGGCUUUUUGGAUAAUGACACGUGGCGCAACGAGAACAAAUAAAAAUCUUAUCGAAAAUCCAUCGCCAAUAAUUGUCUGUUCCGAUAAUAACACGUGGUGUAACAAGAACGAUUACAAAUCUUAUCAGAAAUCCGUCACCAAUAAUUGUCUUUUCCGAUAAUGACAUGUGGCGCAACGAGAACGAUUACAAAUUUUAUCAGAAAUCCGUCAUCAAUAAUUGUCUUUUCCGAUAAUGACACGUGGCGCAAUGAGAACGAUUAAAAAAUCUUAUCGGAAAUUCAUCACCAAUAAUUGUCUUUUCUGAUAAUGACACAUGGCACAAGAACAAUUAAAAAUCUUAUCCGAAAUUACAAAUAAAAUUAUUUUGUAUUAUUUUAUAAAUAAAAAAAUAGUAAUAUUUUAUUGCCAAUUGCCAGGGCUAUUCAAAUGUAACAAUGGAGAUGCAAAAAACGAUUACUGUUCAUUAGGGCAGUUACUGUUAACUGGGUGGAUAGCAUAGUGGAUAGCCCUAGGGGGCUUCCACCAGGGUGGAGUUGCCCUGAGGGAAAUGGAAAGGACUUGAAUUUUUUAUUUGAUGUUUGGAUUGAGUGUUGGGCUCUUUUGUGUGCACGACGUUGAUUUUAUGAAGUCAAAAGUCAAUUGAAAUUUGUGUGGUUGAGAUUUGAUUUGGGGGUAGAGUGAUGGAGGGAGUGCCAUUUGUUUACCACUCCUCUCAUUGUAUUUGUAACGUGGGAGGUGGAGUGGAGUGAUGGAGUUAUAUGAUAUGUACAUUAUUAUAUGUUAGCUAUCUAAAUCGGGCGGGUUAGGUUAAGCCAACUCGAACUCAACCUUUACAAUUUGGAUUGAGGUAUAGUUUUGUGUACAUGUGAGUUCAAUUCAACCGAGUUAGAACUUAACUCGAGGCGGUCUCAAGUUUACCAACUUUAUGUAGAUCAAUCUCAUUGAUUAGUGCUUACGCAACAAAACCUCACUUAAGCAAAACAAUUGAGAUCUGUCAUAUUUUUAGCAGACCAAACCAAAGCUAGUCAAUGAUCCCACAAAAAUAAAUAUCAUUCCUUUUUAUGAGACACAAGAAAUUAGGAAAGUUUAAGUCCAACAAAAUUAGUCUUUACUGGUUAAUUGUCCAUCUGCAGUUCGACCACCACAUCAAUUCCAAGCACAAACAAGAGAUGGAUUGUGGAUACACAGUACUAGUAAGCUUCACUAGUACAACUGUUGAUGGAAUUGCAAUCUGAGCAUAUUCCAAAAUAGCAGCAGCAGCAGGCCGGUGUACAUACCUUCUCCUUUCUUGUAAUCUUCUGAUCAUAUUCAGAAGAUUAGCUGCGGUGUAAUCUUCUUGCUAAAGGUUUCGGCUCCCUUGUUUUCCGGUCAAACCCUCUCACACAAAUGAAUCCUGCAAAACAUAAUUACUAAUUUUAUCAGCAACUGCAUUAUUUCGCCGUCUGUAGCAAGGAACCACAUACAUUCACUCAUAAGUGCUACAUGCAAAUCAAUGUUUCACAUCAUACCUUUCUUAAAGCAGUCCCGGAUUUCUUUGGUCAAUAAACCUGGUACGGAGAAUGUAAGCUAACAAGCAAAAUUUUCCAACCACUGUAAUCAAUUCCAAAACACAUACAUAUACCUAUAAAUAUUCCCGAGACACUGUUUCCACAAUAUAGCGUUCGUCUCCUCAAAUGUUGUAUCGAUGACACAGGAACAUCGAUCGGGUUUUCACUUGUUUUAUAAUCAGCUAGCACCUGUUGUUCAUAUUAUUAUUUCAUCAUACCAGUUUGGAUAGUUCAAAUAAUAUACUUCCUAAAUAAAUGUCAAGUUUAAAUGAGAAAAGAAAUAGGCUUUACCUCAUUAGCUUGAAAGUAUGUUCCGUUGAGAGGAAAAGUUCCUCGCAUUGCCGUGCGACAUGGUAUCUGUAUGAGGUUAGUUUUUGUUAUCUUUUGUAGUUUUGGCAUAUGAAAAAAUGCAGGUUAAAAUACAUGCCGAGGGUUAUGGGUUCUUCCUCACCAAAAUUGUUCCUAGAACAGUCUGGGCAGUGUCUUCACCAUUGCUGCCCAAAAAUUGUCCAUUCUCAUCAAAGCAAGCGGUUUGACCUUCAGUUGAUCCAACAGGAUUGGAUAGUUUGCCUGAAUCAAAAGUUGCACAAACAACACCAUCACACCAAUGUCGGUUCAAGGACUGCAUACUUUUGGAAGAUUAAAAUACAACCAGACACAACAAUUGGCUAAUCGCUCUUACCAGAUGACCAUACAACAAGAAGGUAAGGGCAGGGAUCAUCAGGUUCUCUUCUCUCUAGCUGCAUUUGUUUUCAUGGAAAAAAAAAAUAUCAGUGUCUGGAAGUCAAAGACAUCUACAUUUAUGCCAGUAUAAUGUUUUAGAGCAAGAAUGCUUGAGAUAUCUAACCCCUUUCAAAAUGUGGUGAGCGUCUGGAAGUUCGUAGCUGCAGUUGAAUAUACUUUUGUCAGUACCUAUAUGAACUUUUAAAGUUUAAAUUACAGUUGUACGUACUAAACAAUUUCUUUCGAAGAUUAAAAUAAGCUCCUAAAAACCUCAUUCAUAUCUCACCCUACGAAAAUCAAACUAUUUUAGGUUAAUAAAUGUUGCUUACACUUGAUGCUUUGUCCUAAAUUGGCUCAUGCGCUUCGAUCUGGGUGCGCGACUAGUUGGAACUGGAGCACUAGAUUUUGACAUGACAACUUCUUGAAGCGACUCACUUGUUCGGUUGAAACACUUCUGCUUACUUUGUGCAUGAUCAGCCUUUACAAUUUUACACCCUUUAGGAUUGACUUUGAUUGUAGGAUUCUUAUCGUGAACCUUUAUGCACAAAUCUUCAAUGUCCCCUUCACUCCUUGCACUUCAUGAAACAUAUUUGUUACUUGAAAUAUCAUUAACAUAGAAGCACCGUAUGAUUUUAA
Molecule: non-coding RNA, 6383 nt
Organism: Malus domestica (apple)
Lineage: Eukaryota; Viridiplantae; Streptophyta; Magnoliopsida; Rosales; Rosaceae
Source: RefSeq, a predicted model, not a curated record